Non-coding RNA from Gossypium raimondii (Peruvian cotton), 143 nucleotides. The record is from Rfam. Lineage: Eukaryota; Viridiplantae; Streptophyta; Magnoliopsida; Malvales; Malvaceae.
UAUUAAAAAAUUCAUCCAUUUUACUACUAAAAACUGGCAUAGCUAAUGAAAAAAUUAAACAGUUAUAUAUGGCAUGCCAUGUACACCUCAUGAUGACGUAUAAGAACAAAUUUUUAAUAGUAAAAUGGAUAAAAAUUUUAACA